This 138-nucleotide small nucleolar RNA is filed under the name Ornithorhynchus anatinus (platypus). The record is from RNAcentral. Lineage: Eukaryota; Metazoa; Chordata; Mammalia; Monotremata; Ornithorhynchidae.
CACCUCUCAGGGUCACAACUGGAGAGUUUCCAGUAUUCUACCAGUCUCGGCUACGGGAGGGAGAGUCAAGCAGAGGCCUACCCAUUCCAUUCCUAGCUUGGGCAGUGGCUAGAGAGUGGAAGACAAUCUACUACAAGU